This 253-nucleotide ribosomal RNA is filed under the name uncultured bacterium. Its description in RNAcentral is "partial 16S ribosomal RNA". It matches the Rfam family "Bacterial small subunit ribosomal RNA", at positions 524 to 776 of the family's 1533-position model. The record is from RNAcentral.
UACGAAGGGGGCAAGCGUUGUUCGGAAUUACUGGGCGUAAAGUGUGCGCAGGCGGCAGAGCAAGUCGAGUGUGAAAGCCCCGGGCUUAACUUGGGAAUUGCGCUCGAAACUACUUUGCUGGAGUGUGGCAGAGGAAGGUGGAAUUCCACGUGUAGCGGUGAAAUGCGUAGAGAUGUGGAGGAACACCAAUGGCGAAGGCAGCCUUCUGGGCCAACACUGACGCUCAUGCACGAAAGCGUGGGGAGCAAACAGG